GCUGGGCAUGGUAGUGCACAUCUGUAAUCCCAGCUACUCAGGAGGCUGAGGCAGGAAGAUCACAAGUUCAAGGCCAGACUGGGCAACUUAGAGAGACCCUGUCUCAA
Molecule: small RNA, 107 nt
Filed under: Marmota monax (woodchuck)
Lineage: Eukaryota; Metazoa; Chordata; Mammalia; Rodentia; Sciuridae
Source: RNAcentral